UUAUGUCAAAUCUUAAGCUCAUAUGUGUAUUCUAUUAAACUUGCCUGAUUAUCCCCUGUAAAGGCUAAAGAUAGUUCUGUUAUGACUAGGCAAUUGUUAGGCCAUAUUGAAAUGCUGUCUCCUUCCUUCUUGUCAAGCACUUAAGUCGUAUUGUGUCAAAUCUUAAAGCUCAUAUGUGUAUUCUAUUAAACUUGCCUGAUUAUUCCCUGUAAAGGCUAAAGAUAGUUUUGUUAUGACUAGACAAUUGUUAGGCCAUAUUGAAAUGCUGUCUCCUUCCUUCUUCUCAAGCACUUAAGUCGUAUUGUGUCAAAUCUUAAAGCUCAUAUGUGUAUUCUAUUAAACUUGCCUGAUUAUUCCCUGUAAAGCCUGUGGACAGUUCUGUUAGACUAGUUUCUGUUAGGGCUAGACAAUUGUUAGGCCAUAUUGAAAUGCUGUCUCCUUCCUUCUUGUCAAGCACUUAAUCGUAUUGUGUCAAAUCUUAAAGCUCCUAUGUGUAUUCCAUUAAACUUGCCUGAUUAUUCCCUGUAAAGCCUAUGGACAGUUCUGUUAGACUAGUUUCUGUUAGGGCUAGACAAUUGUUAGGCCAUAUCGAAAUCCUGUCUCCUUCCUUCUUGUCAAGCACUUAAGUCGUAUUGUGUCAAAUCCUAAAGGAGUUUAUAAAGUUAGUAUUAAUAAAUCUAAGGUAAUAACUCUGCCAAUAUAGGGAAAGUAAGACCUUAUAUUCUUACAACUAGACUGUAAUACUGACUUCAUUUUAGCAAGAAUUAGUGGUGUCAAAAACCUGAAGCAGUCUAUAAGGUUAGUAUUAAUAAGUCCAGAGUAAUAAGGUCGCUAUUAUAAGACAUGUUUGCUUUUCAUAUCGGCCAUUUCUAAAGGUCAAAUGUGGGGGUCAAUCAGGUUCUAAUAAGCGUUUCUUUAGGUUCACAGUACAGAGGAAGGGUCAGACUACCACCAGGGUCAUAAAACUACCCCUGGAAAUGCCCACAACUUCUACGAAAGCCUUGUCAAAUAUGUGAACUUGGGCAAAGAAAAAUGUUUAGUAAUACAAGACACUUUGCCAUAUCACAUCAGCUAUUUCUAAAGGUCAAAGAGGGGGUCAAUCAGGUUCUAAUAAGCGUUUCUUUAGGUUCACGGUACAGAGGAAGGGUCAGACUACCACCAGGGUCAUAAAACUACCCCCGGAAAUGCCCACAACUCCCACGAAAGCCUUGUCAAAUAUGUGUUCUUGGACGGUGAAAUGUCUCAUAAUACGAUCCUUAACUGUGCCAAUAUAGAGAGUAAGAAGACCUUAUAUUCUGCUAAAACUAGACUGCAAUACUGACUUCAUUUUUAGCCAGAAUUAUCAGUGUCAAAAACCUGAAGGCAUUUAUAGAGUUAGUACUAAUAGGCUUAAGGUAAAACUUGUGUGUCAGUAAAGGAUAUGAACAAUUUUUCAGUGAUAAAAUAUGAAUGAGAAAAAAAGGUUCUAUAAUUUCACCUGGGAGGACGUAAUUAGCAGGACACCUCUCCUCCUGAAAUUGACCUCUCUUUCGGCCACCUCUUUUGAUUCUUUUUUUGUAGGAGCAGCGAGUAGCGGGCUUUUUUUUACUAUUAUUGUUUCCUUUUUUUGUGCCCUUGAGCUGUCUCCUUUGUUGUAAAAAAAAAAAAAAAAAAAUGUUAGGUCAUCCAUAUUGCAAGCUUUCCCUUCCUUGACCUCACUUGACCUCAUAUGCCAAAGCCUCACUGCUCAUAAAAUCGUGACCCUCUUCAUAAACGGCCUAAGUAUUUUUUUUAUAAUUUUCAGCCUUAGUUACAUCUAGGCCUAUAUCACAAGCUCUCCCUUCCUUGACCUUCCUUGACCUCAUAUACCAAAGCCUCACUGCUCAUAAAAUCUUGACCCUCUAUAUGAACUGCCUAUUUUUUUUUUUAUAAUUUCCAGUCUUUGUUACAUCUAGGCCUAUAUCACAAGCUCUCCCUUCCUUGACCUCGCUUGACCUCAUAUACCAAAGCCUCACUGCUCAUAAUAUCUUGACCCUCUUCAUAAACGGCCUAAGUAUUUUUUUUAACAAUUUUCAGCCUUAGUUACAUCUAGGCCUAUAUCACAAGCUCUUCCUUCCUUGACCUUCCUUGACCUCAAAUACCAAAGCCUCACUGCUCAUAAAAUCUUGACCCUCUAUAUGAAAUGCCUAUUUUUUUUUUAACAAUUUCCAGCCUUAGUUACAUCUAGGCCUAUACCACAAGCUCUCCCUUCCUUGACCUCCCUUGACCUCAUCUCCCAAAGGCCUAUACCACUAUGAAGGUUAAGAAGACCAGGACUUAAGUUGUCACAGAGUAUAAUAAUAAUAGCCGUAACACAAGGACUGGGUGGAUGAGUGGGCGGAUGAGUGGAUGAGUGGAGAGGCGGAAGUGCAUGGAUGAGUGACUGGGUUGUGGAUGGGCGUGGGUGGUGAUGGCUGCCCUGCUGGUGGUGGUGGUGGAGGAGAGGUGGAUAAAAGUGUGGAUAUGUGAGGAGAGGAAGGAGUGGAAAGGUCGGUUAUGGGUGGUGGUGGUGGAGGAGAGGUGGAUAAAAGUGUGGAUGUGUGAGGAGAGGAAGGAGUGGAAAGGUCGGUUAUGGGCGGUGGUGGUGGAGGAGAGGUGGAUAAAAGUGUGGAUGUGUGAGGAGAGGAAGGAGCGGAAAGGUUGGUUAUGGAUGUAGGCGGUGGUGGUGGUGGUCAUAUUAGCAAGGUAAGGUCAGGGUAAGGUCAAGGGUAAGGUCAAGGUAAGGUCAAGGGUAAGGUCAAGGUAAGGUCAAGGGUAAGGUCAAGGUAAGGUCAAGGGUAAGGUCAGUGCAUCUACCUCUAUAAAAAUACAAAAAUGACGGCCAUCCACACACACUUGUCUUCCCAGCGUCACUGAAAGGACAUAACCUAAUCAAUGACAUUUUCAAGAUGUUAAAUGCCGAGUCUGUCUGUCUGCUGCUCCAGGGUGUGUGUACAAGGCUCUAUGGGUCGUGUUAAGAGGCUGAGGGAUUGGCUGACUAUAAAAUGUACAGAGAGAGAAAGAGAGAGAGAGACAUUCUAUAAAUACAUAAUCAGUCCCUUCUUUUAACUCCUCUGAACUCCCUCUACCCUUCACUGAUAUAAGGUUUAGAAAGACACAAAACUGGGGCCUUCUUCAACAACCCUGGACUCGCACUCACUUCCCUUAAGAAUACCUAACUUUACCAUUCACUAAGCCCUUCAAUAAACACUAAACCAGCCUUUCAAACACAUCCAAAACCCACCAUUCACUUCCUUAUACAGUGGAGUGAAUGGCUAACUAUCACUAUUUCAUCCACUAACUUAACCAUUCACUAAGCCCUUCAAUAAACACUAAACCAGCCUUUCAAACACAUCCAAAACCCACCAUUCACUUCCUUAUACAGUGGAGUGAAUGGCUAACUAUCUUGCUAACUAUUUCAUCCACUAACUUGACCAUUCACUGAGCUUCUCGUAAACACAAAAAAAAGCCUUUCCGAGCAUAUCCAAAACCCUCAUUCACUCCCUUAUACAGUGGAGUGAAUGGCUAACUAUCUCACUAUUUCAUCCACUAACUUAACCAUUCACUAAGCCCUUCAAUAAACACUAAACCAGCCUUUCAAACACAUCCAAAACCCACCAUUCACUUCCUUAUACAGUGGAGUGAAUGGCUAACUAUCUCACUAUUUCAUCCACUAACUUAACCAUUCACUAAGCUUCUCGUAAACACAAAAAACAGCCUUUCAGAGCAUAUCCAAAACCCUCAUUCACUCCCUUAUACAGUGGAGUGAAUGGCUAACUAUCUCACUAACUAAUUCAUCCACUAACUUAACCAUUCACUAAGCUUCUCGUAAACACAAAAAAAAACAGCCUUUCCGAGCAUAUCCAAAACCCUGUUCACUCUUAUUAACACUGGAAGGGGAUGAGGAAAGGGAGAAGGUGAUGAAGGAGGAGGAGGUGGAGGUGUAGAUAUAUGCAGAAGCUUAGAGAGAGAGGGCUGUGCAAGAUGAGGAGGAUGUGCUGAUCGCAACACCCAUAACCUCAAACAUUUGGAACUUACACACAAACACACACAUUUGACAAGGCUUUCGUAGAGGCUGUGUUAGUGUGUCCAUGGGUAGUUUCAUAAGCCUAUUAAUAGUGUGACAAGGCUUUCUUAAAGGCUGUGUUAGUGUGUCCAUGGGUAGUCUCAUGAGUCUAGUGAUAGUGUGACAAGGCUUUCGUAGAGGCUGUGUUAGUGUGUCCAUGGGUAGUCUCAUGAGCCUAGUGAUAGUGUGACAAGGCUUUCGUAGAGGCUGUGUUAGUGUGUCCAUGGGUAGUCUCAUGAGUCUAGUGAUAGUGUGACAAGGCUUUCGUAGAGGCUGUGUUAGUGUGUCCAUGGGUAGUCUCAUGAGUCUAGUGAUAGUGUGACAAGGCUUUCAGAGAGGCUGUGUUAGUGUGUCCAUGGGUAGUCUCAUGAGUCUAGUGAUAGUGUGACAAGGCUUUCGUAGAGGCUGUGUUAGUGUGUCCAUGGGUAGUCUCAUGAGUCUAGUGAUAGUGUGACAAGGCUUUCGUAGAGGCUGUGUUAGUGUGUCCAUGGGUAGUCUCAUGAGUCUAGUGAUAGUGUGACAAGGCUUUCGUAGAGGCUGUGUUAGUGUGUCCAUGGGUAGUCUCAUAUGCCUACCGAUAAUUUGACAAGCCUUCUGCACCAUGAAUGUGAAAAACCACUCAUUAGAACCAGACUAGCCUCCUCCGUGGCCUUGGGAAACAGAUAUCGUGUGUGCCAAAAGCUGAGACUACAAGGCUUAGAGUGAAGGGCGACUCUGGGCCAGGGACGCACAGAGAGGGUGAUACGGGGGCCUUGGCUAAUGCUAAGAACACACAGGCUUGAGGUAUAAGGAUGUACUGUGGUAAAUAAAUAACAUGGGAGCUUUUUACAAGUCUGAAUAAAUAAAUAAAUAGCAAGUACGUAAUGCGAUGAGGCUUGUGACGGCGACGCUCGGAGAAACGACGAACGUGUGCGGAAAUGAACAAGCGAAUGGGGUUUCUACACGUACACACACACACACACACACACACACACACACA
Eriocheir sinensis (Chinese mitten crab) is the source of this 5042-nucleotide long non-coding RNA. RefSeq lists it as uncharacterized. The record is from RefSeq and is a predicted model, not a curated record. The transcript has 3 exons. NCBI's taxonomy places the organism in Eukaryota, Metazoa, Arthropoda, Malacostraca, Decapoda, Varunidae.